This is a long non-coding RNA of Carassius auratus (goldfish), 1206 nucleotides long. RefSeq lists it as uncharacterized. Lineage: Eukaryota; Metazoa; Chordata; Actinopteri; Cypriniformes; Cyprinidae. The record is from RefSeq and is a predicted model, not a curated record. The transcript has 3 exons.
UCUACAUAGGCAGGCACACAACCUAGUUGCAUCACGUUCACACCCAGGAUCACAUGAUGUUUUGAAAAGUCACAUGACCAAUUAGGAAGUGAUAAGUGUCUGCUGGUUGCAAGGCAGAUUCUCUUUGUGUUGGUGCUGGACACUGUUGUGCGUGUUGGGCUUCCUUUUCAGUGGUAAUUUCUAGAAGUGUGUGUCUACUCUUCAUGGAGGACACAGGCUUCUGCAUGGAGUUUUAAAAUGUGUUGUGAUCACCUCAUUGUGACCUGAGCUGCUGGGCUGCAUCACAACGGAAUGUUCACCUUUGUCUUCAUAUGUCAAUGAGCUGUGGGACAGUUGAGCAUACUGAAAAGUAGGCCUAUAUUUUUUAGCCAUGUUUGAGUUGACUAUGAUAUGCUGUUUAAUGAGGCUGGCAACUAACAUGAUUGUUUAUUUCCCAAAAGGGACCAGGCCAGCCACUGUUUUCUUGUGAUUAAUGUGCAUUUUUUUUAUUGUUUUGUUGGUUGGUUUGUGUGAUGUGAUUUUGCUUCUGAGCCUACCACCCAUGUGCCCUACUUGUAGUAGCAUUGUUCCUUAAACUGGUGUUAUCCGUGCUGGUGGGUCUCCUCCCUAACUAUGUCUUCUGCUUAGGCUAUCCCUGUACAAGGCCGGAUCCACACUGAUGCUUUGCCCCUUCUUGCCAAGGGACCACAUUGUUAGAGACAUUGGUUUGGGGUGUCUUUAUAACCAUAACACGGUGUGAGAUUUUUUUGUCGUGGUAUCUGAAGAUCUUGAAUGAGUGGUGCUUGCGGUGUUGCAUGCUUCUUCUGGUGCUGGGUUGCUGUCUCCUGUUUCUUUUUUUGUCUCACCAGGGUCCACCUGAGCAGGGGUUUCGCAUUGGCUGAUCCGACCUUCCUAGAUUGAGGAGAAUCCACCAAUUGUAUAGCAGUAUUUAAGAGCCAUUUUAAUAACUUUUCCACACUUUUUGUACUAAAUUGUAAUAAAUUUGAAAUACAUUUAUAUACCUGCCUCUUAUAAACUGUCCCUUUGCGGGGAAAUAUAGAGUUAGCUACACUUCAUUAAGGGAAGACUUGUGGGUCCUCCUGCCCAUCAUCAGGGGGUGGCGUAGUCAAACCAUAAAGAUUUACUCCUUGACGGGUACCACAUUUAUGGCGUAGUCGGCAGGGUCUAAAUGAGGCAUUGAUAUUUUGUUUUGUCUACAUGGUUUUG